RNAcentral lists this ribosomal RNA (499 nucleotides) under uncultured soil bacterium. Its description in RNAcentral is "bacterial SSU rRNA". It matches the Rfam family "Bacterial small subunit ribosomal RNA", at positions 26 to 524 of the family's 1533-position model. The record is from RNAcentral.
AGAUUGAACGCUGGCGGCAUGCUUUACACAUGCAAGUCGAACGGUAACAGGCCGCAAGGUGCUGACGAGUGGCGAACGGGUGAGUAAUGUAUCGGAACGUGCCCAGUCGUGGGGGAUAACGCAGCGAAAGCUGCGCUAAUACCGCAUACGAUCUAUGGAUGAAAGCGGGGGACCGUAAGGCCUCGCGCGAUUGGAGCGGCCGAUAUCAGAUUAGGUAGUUGGUGGGGUAAAGGCUCACCAAGCCAACGAUCUGUAGCUGGUCUGAGAGGACGACCAGCCACACUGGGACUGAGACACGGCCCAGACUCCUACGGGAGGCAGCAGUGGGGAAUUUUGGACAAUGGGCGCAAGCCUGAUCCAGCAAUGCCGCGUGCAGGAAGAAGGCCUUCGGUUGUAAACUGCUUUUGUACGGAACGAAACGGUCCUGGUUAAUACCUGGGCUAAGUGACGGUACCGUAAGAAUAAGCACCGCUAACUACGUGCCAGCAGCCGCGGUAAC